UGAACGGAUCAUAGAAAGUAUUACAAUGGAAAAUAAACAUUAGAUAUUAUUCAUGUUUUCCAUUGAUAAAUAAGUAAACUUAGCAAGCAGUUUUACACCUGCAGCUAAGUUCUUUAGGCAUACACACCUGUGUUGGAAAACUUUUUUUUUAUCCUCCACAGCAAAAGCUUCUACACACGCUUUGGGAUUGUUUUUGUCACCAAUAUUGGAACACCUAAAAAGUCGAUCAGAAAAUAUUCAUGCUACAUCACACACUUUCGCCUUUCGAGCCUUUAUCUCUGAACCACACGAUAUUACAAUAAACAAUUAGAAACACAAUAACUAAAUUAACCAUGCAACCUCUUUCCUUAUAUAUUUUCUUAAUUGCAUUAGUAUUAUUCCCAAAUCAAAUUCAAAGCUUUAAAAUUCGUAACUAACCAAUCAAUUCUAAGUAUAAGCCGAUAUAUUACCUUGAACCCGAGUCAAAACAAGUAACAUGAUAGCAUAACCAAAACAUGAACAGUGUAGCAGAUCUCAUCUCUCUCUUUUUUUUUGUAAGCAAAAAAUUAUAUUUUGUUUUAAUCUCGUAACUACAGAUUAUUACUUA
This 586-nucleotide long non-coding RNA is filed under the name Arabidopsis lyrata. RNAcentral describes it as "long non-coding RNA (ALYR_LNC001805)". The record is from RNAcentral. Lineage: Eukaryota; Viridiplantae; Streptophyta; Magnoliopsida; Brassicales; Brassicaceae.